This 230-nucleotide long non-coding RNA is filed under the name Hordeum vulgare. RNAcentral's name for it is "long non-coding RNA (HVUL_LNC002523)". The record is from RNAcentral. Lineage: Eukaryota; Viridiplantae; Streptophyta; Magnoliopsida; Poales; Poaceae.
AGCCUGAUAUUUUUUUUUCUUCUCUUUUAAAAAUGCCAGUCAGUCUUGUUUGUUGAAACUCUAGAGGGAAAUAAUUCUACGUAUUUGAAUAUCGUUUGUUCUUUUUAGAGAACUUCACUGUAUUAUAUUGAUCAACGGCGAUGCUCCAAACGUUGAGGGCAACAUUCAAAGAUAGAGAAAAAUAUUGCUCCAUGGUCACUAUUUCUUCUCUCGUGAAUGAUACCCAUGGC